This 578-nucleotide ribosomal RNA is filed under the name uncultured Flavobacterium sp. Its description in RNAcentral is "bacterial SSU rRNA". It matches the Rfam family "Bacterial small subunit ribosomal RNA", at positions 338 to 916 of the family's 1533-position model. The record is from RNAcentral. Lineage: Bacteria; Pseudomonadati; Bacteroidota; Flavobacteriia; Flavobacteriales; Flavobacteriaceae. RNAcentral also lists the same sequence under 1 other name.
CCUACGGGAGGCAGCAGUGAGGAAUAUUGGGCAAUGGAGGCAACUCUGACCCAGCCAUGCCGCGUGCAGGAAGAAUGCCCUAUGGGUUGUAAACUGCUUUUAUUUAGGAAUAAACCCCUUUACGUGUAGAGGGCUGAAUGUACUAAACGAAUAAGCACCGGCUAACUCCGUGCCAGCAGCCGCGGUAAUACGGAGGGUGCAAGCGUUAUCCGGAAUCAUUGGGUUUAAAGGGUCCGCAGGCGGAUGUAUAAGUCAGUGGUGAAAUCCUGCAGCUUAACUGCAGAACUGCCAUUGAUACUGUACAUCUUGAAUUCGGUCGAAGUGGGCGGAAUGUGUAGUGUAGCGGUGAAAUGCAUAGAUAUUACACAGAACACCGAUAGCGAAGGCAGCUCACUAGGCCUGGAUUGACGCUCAGGGACGAAAGCGUGGGGAUCAAACAGGAUUAGAUACCCUGGUAGUCCACGCUGUAAACGAUGAUUACUCGUUUUCGGCGAUAUACAGUCGGAGACUAAGCGAAAGUGAUAAGUAAUCCACCUGGGGAGUACGAUCGCAAGGUUGAAACUCAAAGGAAUUGACGG